Molecule: microRNA, 22 nt
Filed under: Ornithorhynchus anatinus (platypus)
Lineage: Eukaryota; Metazoa; Chordata; Mammalia; Monotremata; Ornithorhynchidae
Description: oan-miR-1401-5p
Source: miRBase by way of RNAcentral
UUUCUGACCACCACCGGCCUCU